GACGAACGCUGGCGGCGUGCUUAACACAUGCAAGUCGAACGGAAAGGCCCGGCUUUUGUGGGAUGCGGGAGUGGCGAACGGGGGAGUAACACGUGAGUAACCUGCCCUUGACUUUGGGAGAACUUAAGGGAACUGGGGCGAAUACCGGAUAGGAGCUCCUGAUGCAUGGGGGGGGUGGGAAAGAGUCGGUGGUUGGGGAUGGACAGGCGGCUUAGCCGCUUGUUGGUGGGGUAGUGGCGUACCAAGGCUUUGAGGGGUAGCCGGCCUGAGAGGGUGACCGGCCCCAUUGGGCUUCAGAUACGGCCAAUACUCCUACUGGAGGCAGCAGUGGGGAUUAUUCCACACUGCGCCGAAGCCUUAUGCAGCAACGCCGCGUCGUGGAUCUCGGCCUUCGGGUUGUAACCCGCUUUCGCCUGUGACGCAGCGUGAGUGACGGUAAUUGGCAAAGAAGCACCGGCUAACUACGUG
Molecule: ribosomal RNA, 468 nt
Filed under: uncultured bacterium
Lineage: Bacteria
Description: partial 16S ribosomal RNA
Rfam family: Bacterial small subunit ribosomal RNA
Source: RNAcentral